This 394-nucleotide ribosomal RNA is filed under the name uncultured bacterium. RNAcentral describes it as "partial 16S ribosomal RNA". It matches the Rfam family "Bacterial small subunit ribosomal RNA", at positions 338 to 729 of the family's 1533-position model. The record is from RNAcentral.
CCUACGGGAGGCAGCAGUGAGGAAUAUUGGUCAAUGGCCGCAAGCCUGAACCAGCCAAGCCGCGUGAAGGAUGACGGCCCUACGCGUUGUAAACUUCUUUUGUAAAGGGAUAAAAUCAGGCACGUGUGCCUUUCUGAAUGUACUUUAUGAAUAAGGAUCGGCUAACUCCGUGCCAGCAGCCGCGGUAAUACGGAGGAUCCGAGCGUUAUCCGGAUUUAUUGGGUUUAAAGGGUGCGUAGGCGGGCUGUUAAGUCAGUUGUGAAAGGUCGGGGCUCAACCGCGGAAUUGCCUUUGAUACUGGCAGCCUUGAGUACAGUUGAGGUAGGCGGAAUGCGUGGUGUAGCGGUGAAAUGCUUAGAUAUCACGCAGAACUCCGAUUGCGAAGGCAGCCUAC